UUGUACACACCGCCCAUCACGGCAGGAAAGUUGGGGGCACCCGAAUCCCGAUUAUAUCGGGAGAAGGUGAAACCAGCGAUCAGGCUGAAGUUGUAACAAGGUAUCCCUAGCUGAAGCUGGGGAUGGAUCACCUCCUUU
RNAcentral lists this ribosomal RNA (138 nucleotides) under bacterium. Its description in RNAcentral is "partial 16S ribosomal RNA". It matches the Rfam family "Bacterial small subunit ribosomal RNA", at positions 1381 to 1533 of the family's 1533-position model. The record is from RNAcentral.